This 253-nucleotide ribosomal RNA is filed under the name uncultured bacterium. Its description in RNAcentral is "partial 16S ribosomal RNA". It matches the Rfam family "Bacterial small subunit ribosomal RNA", at positions 524 to 776 of the family's 1533-position model. The record is from RNAcentral.
UACGUAGGGUGCGAGCGUUAAUCGGAAUUACUGGGCGUAAAGUGUGCGCAGGCGGCCGCGCAAGUCGAGUGUGAAAUCCCCGAGCUUAACUUGGGAAUUGCGCUCGAAACUACGUGGCUGGAGUGUGGCAGAGGAAGGUGGAAUUCCACGUGUAGCGGUGAAAUUCGUAGAUAUCGGGAGGAACACCGGUGGCGAAGGCGGCGACCUGGGUCGACACUGACGCUGAGGCGCGAAAGCGUGGGGAGCAAACAGG